Long non-coding RNA from Oncorhynchus nerka (sockeye salmon), 1678 nucleotides. RefSeq lists it as uncharacterized. The transcript has 3 exons. Lineage: Eukaryota; Metazoa; Chordata; Actinopteri; Salmoniformes; Salmonidae. The record is from RefSeq and is a predicted model, not a curated record.
AUAGUAUCGAUGUAUACACAUACUCGGUGACUGGGUUUAUCAGGAAGUGCAUAGAAGAUGUUGUUCCUCCCGUGACGAUUAGAACUUAUGCAAACCAAAAACUGUGGAUAGAUGGCAGCAUUUGCGCAAAAACUGAAUUUAACCACAGCAAGGUGACUGGGAAUAUGGACAUGUACAAACAGACCAGCUAUGACCUCCAUAAGGCAAUCAAAGAGGCAAAACAUCAGUACAGGGACAAAGUGGAGUCACAAUUCAAUGGCUCAGAUACGAGACGCAUGUGGCAGGGACUCCACAUAAUCAUGGAUUGUCAAAGGGAAAGCCAGCCAUGUCACGAACACUGAUGCCUCGCUCCCGCACAAGCUAAAACACCUGUUCUCCUUCAAGAAAAACAACACGUGGACCCCAGCCGCUCAUGACGACCCGAUCUCUCUGGCCCACGAAUCUUCUAUCGUGGAUGGAAGGAUGGAACAAAGGGAAGAAGUACAGAAGUUAUUCAGCCUGCUGACAAAAUUGAUGAUAAAUUCAUUAAUGUCCCACUUCAAUAUAAAGGCACAGAGGACAAAACAUGCCGUUGCUACCAUUCCUCCAUUCCAUUGAAGUUGCUAAGUUAAUGUGGGGUUGCGACCAUUGACAUGGACAGUGUAACAUUUUUAGUAGAAUCUGUUACAAAUAUUUGAUUGUGCGUUACUGUUCUGUCAUGUCCUGCAUGCCCACAUUAUGCCAGUUGUUUAUGUAUUGCUUACUGUAAGUGUCAUUGAUUGGUUGAUUUGUUGGUGGAGGAGAAUACAAAGUAUGUAUAUGAGCAAGUUGCUCUUUUUUGAAGACAUCUCUAAGCUAUAACUGCCACAAACUUCUUUAACUAGUACCAUGGAAAUACUUUUAGUCAGCUAAGUCCAAAGUUUUGUCAGGAAUGUCAUUUUCUAGUUAUUUUACAAUCUCAAAUUGAUGAAGUUGUAAUGCGCUGAUUCGCUUCACUGCAGAUCUGACCCAUCACACCACUCUUCAAGAGGGCCACUAUGCUCCAGAUCGCCUUCUGUGCUCUGAGGUCCAGGAUGAGGAUCUACUCAUUCUAAUUAGUACAACAAAACAAUUGGCUUAAUAUAGUCUCGUUAUUGUUAUUUUAUUGUGAUAUUACUUGACUGUAUUUAGUAAAUAUUUUCUUAAAACUGCAUUUUUGGUUAAGGGCUUGUAAGUAAGUAAGCAGUUCACGGUAAGGUCUACACAUGUUGUAUUCAGCGCAUGUGACAGAUACAUUUAGAUUUUAUUUGAUGAUAUAUAUUCUGUCCCAGUCUCUCUAUGCAUGUAAUGUCUUUGGGUGAACUAUGAAACAAUUACUGUAUGCAGAAUGGGGAAGUAGAUUUGUUUUUGCCAUUGCUUUACCUAUAUCUAAAUGUAAGAAUAUGCUGCAGAUUUAAACUUGAAUUGAUGCCUAUGGUAACAAAUAGAAAUGUAAUUAUCAAUGUUUUCAAUAUCAAACUUUGUCCUCUGCAACACUUUUUACAGUACGUAAUAAACUGUUACCAGGUCAUGAUGAGGUCUUAACUGUGACCAGUGAAUAAUAUAGCACAUAAUAUAGUGGUAAAAAUUAUGACCAGCUGGUCAUAUGUUGGUCAGAAAAAAAGUCACAUUACAUUUUUUAUUUAUUUUCAACCAGUUUGCGACCAGAACAAGACCUAUU